RNAcentral lists this long non-coding RNA (707 nucleotides) under Mus spicilegus (steppe mouse). Its description in RNAcentral is "lncRNA (ENSMSIG00000021076.1)". The record is from RNAcentral. Lineage: Eukaryota; Metazoa; Chordata; Mammalia; Rodentia; Muridae.
GGCAAACACUUAAAACGCCAUCCUCAACACGCCCCCCUCUCCGUCAAGGGAAGGUCCACUCAUAGUGAACAGCAUUGACAAGGAACAAGGGCAGGCUCAAAAGAGCGUUUUCGUGUAAGAAUGGCUUCCAGAGAAGAAGAGCCCAAAGGGCCAGGUUUUAAAAGGGGGUACCGGCAAAGGCUAUUCACAAUACAAGUGCAGUUGCAAGCUGGUUGACUAUGGAAUGUUACAGACAAGACUCCACUUCCUGGAUUGGAGCAGGGCAGGACAUACACUGAGAUAAGCAGGCCGGAGGAGUGAGGGGAUGCUCUCUCUGGACUCAGCCCCAAUUUUCUUCUUUAAAUUCUGAAGGGGGGAAAAAAUAAUGCUGUUCUUUUCUCAGGGGUGUCCCUGUUCUACCACCAGUGGCCACUAGAGGGAGCCAGGAGAAGAAGGCGGCCUGCCCAGCGGAGCCAGCAAUAGCAGUGGGCCAAGCAGGAAGCAGAGGAUGGGAGAGAAAGGACCGGAAGUGGAGAUGCAGGAGCCCAAAUAAAGAGACUGACAUAAAGCCUGAGGCAGGAGCAGUGGACGCCAUGAUACUCCAACAGCUAGGAGGGAUCGGCAAGGUCUAAUGUUUCCUUCCCCCAGAAAAACACUUCAAACAGCAACCUUUCUCUCUUAACCCUGCUGCAAUACCUAAGCUAAUAAAUAAAAAGCAUGGUGUCUCA